AUGUGGCCAAGUUGUAAGGCAACGGGUUUUGGUCCCGCUAUUCGGAGGUUCGAAUCCUUCCGU
Molecule: transfer RNA, 63 nt
Filed under: Ricinus communis (castor bean)
Lineage: Eukaryota; Viridiplantae; Streptophyta; Magnoliopsida; Malpighiales; Euphorbiaceae
Rfam family: tRNA
About the family: Transfer RNA (tRNA) molecules are approximately 80 nucleotides in length. Their secondary structure includes four short double-helical elements and three loops (D, anti-codon, and T loops). Further hydrogen bonds mediate the characteristic L-shaped molecular structure. tRNAs have two regions of fundamental functional importance: the anti-codon, which is responsible for specific mRNA codon recognition, and the 3' end, to which the tRNAs corresponding amino acid is attached (by aminoacyl-tRNA synthetases). tRNAs cope with the degeneracy of the genetic code in two manners: having more than one tRNA (with a specific anti-codon) for a particular amino acid; and 'wobble' base-pairing, i.e. permitting non-standard base-pairing at the 3rd anti-codon position.
Source: Rfam by way of RNAcentral